RNAcentral lists this ribosomal RNA (411 nucleotides) under uncultured bacterium. RNAcentral describes it as "bacterial SSU rRNA". It matches the Rfam family "Bacterial small subunit ribosomal RNA", at positions 64 to 507 of the family's 1533-position model. The record is from RNAcentral.
GAACGAGAAAGUGGAGCAAUCCAUGAGUAAAGUGGCGACCGGGUGAGUAACACGUGACUAACCUACCCUUGAGUGGGGGAUAACCUCGGGAAGCCGGGGCUAAUACCGCAUAACAUCGCAAGAUCAAAGGAGCAAUCCGCUGAAGGAGGGGGUCGCGGCUGAUUAGCUAGUUGGUGAGGUAACGGCUCACCAAGGCGAAGAUCAGUAGCCGGCCUGAGAGGGCGCACGGCCACACUGGAACUGAAACACGGUCCAGACUCCUACGGGAGGCAGCAGUGGGGAAUUUUGCGCAAUGGGGGAAACCCUGACGCAGCAACGCCGCGUGGAGGAUGAAGUCCCUUGGGACGUAAACUCCUUUCGACCGGGACGAUUAUGACGGUACCGGUGGAAGAAGCCCCGGCUAACUUCGUG